UACAGAGGGUGCGAGCGUUGUUCGGAAUUAUUGGGCGUAAAGGGCGCGUAGGCGGUGCCACAAGUCACUUGUGAAAUCCCCGGGCUUAACUCGGGGCCUGCAGGCGAAACUGUGGUGCUGGAGUAUGGGAGAGGUGCGUGGAAUUCCCGGUGUAGCGGUGAAAUGCGUAGAGAUCGGAAAGAACACCAACGGCGAAAGCACUCUGCUGGGCCGACACUGACACUGAGAGACGAAAGCUAGGGGAGCGAAUGGG
RNAcentral lists this ribosomal RNA (253 nucleotides) under uncultured bacterium. RNAcentral describes it as "partial 16S ribosomal RNA". It matches the Rfam family "Bacterial small subunit ribosomal RNA", at positions 524 to 776 of the family's 1533-position model. The record is from RNAcentral.